UCCAAACAAAUCACCUACCUCUCCAUUUAUUUUUUUCACCGAUCCCCUUCCAUACUUAGCUCCUUCGAACACGCACUAGACACGUUUAUCUUUUCUCCUGAGCAUAAGUCGUUCGUUCGUCAUCCUCAAAAAUAGACCAAACGUGAAAACCUACGGAGGACCUCCCUCCCGGCUCCCGUGAUCCCUAGCUAGCCCGCGCUCAUCCCCUUCUACACCAGCAGCCGCCGCCCCCGCCCCGCACCCCUUGCCCUCCCUCCCUACCUUUUCCCAGCCGAGCGCCCCAUCCAUACAAAGGGCAACGCCGCGGCUGGGCAGUCCAGGAGGCGAGCGAGGCAGCGAGCAAAGUUUUUCAUGGAUCGAUCGAUACAUGUGUGAUUGCGUUUGCCUCUUCCUCAGCUGGCUGAUCGAGCGUCCUCUACGUGCCCUCCCUCGGCCCCUCGGCAGCUCGUCGCCGCAGGCAGGUAUCCACACGUGAUGCCUAUGCGCUGCACGCCAUUCCUCUCUGCAGGUGCCGCCAUGGCCGUGUCAUGGAGCUCGCCGCCGCGCCUACCAACGACGUCCUGCGUCCAGGCAUGGCGAGGGCGCUGGAUGGCAGGAACGGCCGCAUCAAGGAGGCAGCUAGGGACGGUGGCUCCAGGGCUCUACACGCCGUUGCCAGUCACGGGAGGAUGCCGGUGUGUGUUUACCUGCUCCAGAAGCAUGUUCAACGAAAAUGUCAACGAACCUUUGGCCAUAGCUCCUUCCUCUUCUCACAACAAGUGAGUUCUCUCUGCACUAGCAUAUGUGCUAUCAGUAAUCACCGCUCUAGAAUUCUGAAUAUAUUUCUAUAUGAUAUCCAGCCGGUAAUCGUGCAGGCUUUUGUCUAAAGUUUUUUCUCUUGCAAUUUGCAAUGUACAAAGUUUGAAUAUUACAGAAACUGCUGGCAUCUAAUUUUCCAUCAUAUUAUAUUUUACGCAUAAGUUUUGUAUCUCCUUUCUAAUGAGUAAAUGGUGAAUAGAUCCUUUUUGUGAAUUAAACAUAAUUCAGAGAUGAUAAUGACUAUGUAGCUUGCAUUGCAUGUAUGGUGGUGUAUCUAUUGAGCUGGAGAAUAUUUUAGAAUUCAUUCACUUGCAGCGAUGGCAAUGACCAACACAGUUUUUUCGUUUUCCGUUUCGUUCCUACGUUCUGGUUGGUACCGGUGUAGAUUUUCUUCCUCAAUAAAAUACAUAGAAGUAGAUCGGAUUGGUCACAAAUAUCUUACUACUUCAGCAGCAGUUAUGUUUUUCCAACUGAAAUCAUUUUCCUUGCUAGGCGCUAGCUAUACCUGACAACAGGUAAGAGACGUGUUGUUGACAACUCACCCUUAGUUACAGUUGAGGUACUUGCACAAAAGACGCAUGAAAAUGUUUGAUUUUAAUAUUGUUUUACCAUAUGCUUUGAUUUCAUCGGGAAAGAGGAGAAGACGAGAGGAAGAGAGUCCCUAGGGGUAAGUAUCGCCGAGCACAACAGGUUGAAACAAAAAUACUGAGAUGGUGUUGAGAACAGAAAAUAGGAGAAAUAGUCCAAUGUUUUACACAACAUGUUGUGACACAUGCACAUGACAUAGAUAUUUUAAUCAAUAUCUCAUUUAAUGAACUAAUCAAGAAAGACAAAAAAAUAGAUUGACUCAUGAUGACAAAUAUGUUCGUCUUGAUUUGUACUAUCAAUUUUUGUCGCAACACAGUCAUAAGUCGCAUGUGACGUUCACAUUGUGAAUUGAAAUGAUGUUUUGAUUAGUGUCUUAGUUUGUUGUUUCAUGGUAGCACGGGCAUUCACCUGUGUUAGUUUUUCAUCUUGAAUGGAAGUAACUUUGUGUUCUAAUUGAUUGAGCAUAUGAAUUUAUGAAGUAUUGGUUGUGUAUGCUAAUUCUGACGGAUGGAAUCCUUUGCUUUAUAGCAUCAUGCACUAAUAUCUCUAUCCCUAAUGUCUCAGUUGGUAGAAUAGUCUCCACGAAUUUUUUUCGUCCCACCAUUUUCAUCCUUUUUUUCGUUGGUUUUUUGUCCCCCCACCCCACCCCACGCAAGCACCCCAAAAAAACCAACCCGCACAAACACCGAUCCUAUCGAUCCCCUGGAGGACAUGCAGCCACCGUCGUGUGAUCUUCCUCACACAGACGCACCAGAUCGCCGCCGCCGACCUCACAGAGAAGACGCCGCCGAAUCUUGUACACGUACGGGAUCGCCGGAUCCCUAGAACGCUGUUGAUCUAUUCACUACAUCGACGGAAACCAAGCGCUACACUAGAAACCAGGCCGAUCCCAGAGCCAGAAGAAGAAGGAGAAGAGGGUCUCCAUGGCUCAUCAGGCGUCGGCGGGCAGCGAUGACACGCGGCUGCGAAGGUGUUCGUGUAUGGCCCGGCGUGGAAGAUGAGCAAGGAGGGUGUGCACGACCAGUUCGAGCUCUUCGGCGAGAUCCUCGAGGCUGUCGUCAUUGCCAACAAGGGCACCGACAUAUCCAAGGCCGCGGAUUCGUGAGUACCCACCCAAACAAUUCUCUCUUCCCCUCAUCAUCGAUUCAUGUUCAGUAGUUAAUUCUCUUGUUUAAUUCAGCCCCGUUAGUUGAUGCUAUGCCUAGAUGGAUGCUUGGCAGGUUACAUUUUGGGAGGCGGAGGCGGCCAUUAGGGCGUGCUUCGGUCCGUAUCGGUGAUUGACGACCGGAGGACCAACUGCAACCUCGCCCGCCUCAGGGUCCAGAGGUCCAAGGCCCCACAACCAACUGCCUCUGCAUCCAUAUGCUGCAAUCAAGUUACCAAAUCUGAAGCAUUUUAGCAAGGCAACGGUACAUGUGCUCUUUUGGUGGAAGAUGAAGCUUUUGUUGCUCUGGCAGCCGCUUAGCCGCCCCAGGAUCGGGACGCCAUCUCUGCCUUCAUCGCCGACCUCCGCUCGAUGGCCGUCCACUUAUCGCCGACGCUCCCUCCGCCACCUCCCGAGCCGGAUUAGGGGUCGGGUCCCUCCCCGGCCCCAUUUUGUGUUUAUUUUGGGCUUGUUGAGCUGUGCCCUCAGCAAAACCUUUUGUACUCUGUCUUGUGAGAGUUGUGUGUGUGUGGUGUGAACCUUCUUGUGUACUAGUGCUAUGUGGCGGUUUGCUUUAUUUAUAAAGCGGGGCGAAAGCCUUUUUCGGUUUAACU
Molecule: long non-coding RNA, 3144 nt
Organism: Triticum aestivum (bread wheat)
Lineage: Eukaryota; Viridiplantae; Streptophyta; Magnoliopsida; Poales; Poaceae
Exons: 4
Source: RefSeq, a predicted model, not a curated record